ACGAACGCUGGCGGCAGGCCUAACACAUGCACGUCGAGCGCGCCCUUCGGGGUGAGCGGCGGACGGGUGAGUAACGCGUGGGAACGUGCCCUUCUCUGCGGAAUAGCCUCGGGAAACUGAGAGUAAUACCGCAUACGCCCUUUGGGGGAAAGAUUUAUCGGAGAAGGAUCGGCCCGCGUUGGAUUAGGUAGUUGGUGGGGUAAUGGCCCACCAAGCCGACGAUCCAUAGCUGGUUUGAGAGGAUGAUCAGCCACACUGGGACUGAGACACGGCCCAGACUCCUACGGGAGGCAGCAGUGGGGAAUCUUAGACAAUGGGGGCAACCCUGAUCUAGCCAUGCCGCGUGAGUGAUGAAGGCCUUAGGGUUGUAAAGCUCUUUCAGCUGGGAAGAUAAUGACGGUACCAGCAGAAGAAGCCCCGGCUAACUCCGUG
This 432-nucleotide ribosomal RNA is filed under the name uncultured bacterium. RNAcentral's name for it is "partial 16S ribosomal RNA". It matches the Rfam family "Bacterial small subunit ribosomal RNA", at positions 29 to 507 of the family's 1533-position model. The record is from RNAcentral.